Medicago truncatula (barrel medic) is the source of this 93-nucleotide microRNA precursor. It matches the Rfam family "MIR2617 microRNA precursor family". The record is from Rfam. NCBI's taxonomy places the organism in Eukaryota, Viridiplantae, Streptophyta, Magnoliopsida, Fabales, Fabaceae.
AUAGUAGUGUGACAUGCCCGUUUGGGUUAUACUCUGAUGAUGUAUGUUAUUUAUUAUUAAACUGUAUUUUGGGUAACGGGGUGUUACAUCCAA